RNAcentral lists this ribosomal RNA (253 nucleotides) under uncultured bacterium. RNAcentral's name for it is "partial 16S ribosomal RNA". It matches the Rfam family "Bacterial small subunit ribosomal RNA", at positions 524 to 776 of the family's 1533-position model. The record is from RNAcentral.
UACGGAGGGUGCAAGCGUUAAUCGGAAUUACUGGGCGUAAAGCGCACGCAGGCGGUUUGAUAAGUUAGAUGUGAAAGCCCCGGGCUCAACCUGGGAAUUGCAUUUCAAACUGGGCGUCUAGAGUAUUUUAGAGGGGGGUAGAAUUCCACGUGUAGCGGUGAAAUGCGUAGAGAUGUGGAGGAAUACCGAUGGCGAAGGCGGCCCCCUGGGCAAAUACUGACGCUCAGGUGCGAAAGCGUGGGGAGCAAACAGG